AUACAGGCCUUCAAUGAGCCCGCCCAGUC
Molecule: small RNA, 29 nt
Filed under: Bombyx mori (domestic silkworm)
Lineage: Eukaryota; Metazoa; Arthropoda; Insecta; Lepidoptera; Bombycidae
Description: ovarian small RNA-12343
Source: RNAcentral